UUCAUAAAACAUAAACGCAUAUCAGAAAAGAAAGGAGGGGGGAAGAACCGAAUCAGAAAAUGAGGGGAGCCGCGAGGGAAGGUGGGAGAGAACCGAAUCAGAAAAUAAGGGGAGCCGCGAGGGAAGGAGGGGGAAGAGGGAGACGGCGCGGUGGGCGUCACUGCCACCAGAGCCGCCGUCGAAUCACCAUGGGGGAGAAGGAGAGAGAAGCAGAACCGCGAAGAGAGAGAGAUUGACGGAGACGUUCACGCCGUUCGUCCUCGUCGCUGCCAUGCGUUGCCGCCGCCGCCGCUAGUUUCACUACCGUUGAACUCGAAGGACAAAGGGAAAGCGACGUUGACAUAGAGAUUGAUGGAAGCCAGUGAAGCGCGUGAGACAAGGAAAGCCGAUUCUGUCACCGCCGCCGCACCCAAUUGCCGUCGGUCGAGCUCGCCGUUGUUGGAUGUGAACCGGUGUCGCGUCCUUGCGGCCAGAGCCACCAGCGCCACUACUACUACAAUAGAGAUGGAAAAACUAAUUUGCUGAAUUUAUUGUUCACUGGUGGUUAAUCACGAGGUCGGUUGUGAAAAACUUGAAUGAGUUGUUCUGGUACCGUAAAAUGUGGACAGGUAUUUCUCUAAAUCCUUCUGAAUGAGCUUUACUAUCUAAUUCUGAAGGCACAAUUUGGACAAGUAUUUUUCUAAAACUUGGGUUUUAUACAUUAGCUAAUUAAGUCAAGUUUAUUUUUCGUUUAACCUUUUCAAACUCUGCUUGCUUAUGUGCUAUGAGUUAUGACUGUUUCGGUCAUCAAUUUGUGACAUCAGUCUCUAUUUUGGAGAUGGCUCACGUCAGGUGCAUAGUUCAGCAAGCUUAAGGGUAAAAGCUAAUUAUUCUUUAUAUUCCUUAUAUUUUGAUUCCACUUACAUAUUAAAUGAGUAUGACUUAUUUUUCUUCUAAUUUUAGACUAAGGUUUCAUAACAGUGAUUCAAUGACAAUAUAAUUCAUGAUAAUUAUUAGUUCGCACGUCACAUUACAAACUAAAAUGAUAAAUAGUCUUUUUCCCCUCCUUUUAUUAAUCUAAUGAGUUUUAGAAUUGAGUUAUAAAUAGUUUUUAGUGUUGAAUGACACCAGGUACUUUUUAAAAAAAUUUAUUUUUGUAACUGGGUCUUCUUUGUUCUCCUUAAAGGUUGGAACUUGUUUUUAAACUAAUGUUAGCUUAGUUCAAUUGGUUCUGCAUUGGUUAAUUGGUAUAAUUUGGUCAAUGUCUAGUUCUAGUAUGCCUAUAAGUUGAAACUAUUAAAUUUGGUUAAUGUCUAGUUCUUGUAUGCCUAAUUAAUUGUUAUUAUUUAAUUAGGAGUUUUGAUGGACAUUAUCUUUACUGCAUAUUUAAUUAACGCAUUCGAAUCCAAUCCCAUGGAUAAGGCUUUGUUCAUUACGUGGUGCUAUGACUCAUGUAUUUUGUAUAUCUGAGAGCUCAUGCUUGUGAUAUUCAAUUUUUCUUUCUGCUAUACAGCUUAUUAUUUCAAAGUUAAACAUAUAUUUAUUAUUGGGCUCAUUUACAUGUUCUAGAAAUCAUCUCCUGUUGUUGUCAGAUAUGCUGAUCGAGAACGUGAAUGGCUUGGUAACUCUUUCAAAUUUUACUUCCUUCAAAACUUAUUGAGUUAAAUAAUGUAUUAGUGUGCCUUAACCAGGUUCUACUUCCUAGCUGAUUAAUAGAUUAUAUUUUCUCUAUCUAGUUUAGUUCAGUUUAAAGAAGGUUUUGAUUGCAUGUUGUAGUUUAGUUUCUUAAGGAAAAAUUAGUGAAAAGAACAGGUUUCACACUGAAAUGUGAACUCAUAGGCAUAUAUAGCUUCAUCUUGUUCUCUCCCUUUUUAUUUUAUGGUAAUUACACAAACCUUGCUUGAA
This is a non-coding RNA of Arachis ipaensis, 1884 nucleotides long. The record is from RefSeq and is a predicted model, not a curated record. Lineage: Eukaryota; Viridiplantae; Streptophyta; Magnoliopsida; Fabales; Fabaceae.